CCUACGGGUGGCAGCAGUGGGGAAUAUUGCGCAAUGGGCGAAAGCCUGACGCAGCGACGCCGCGUGAGGGAUGAAGGUCUUCGGAUCGUAAACCUCUGUCAGCAGGGAAGAACGGUCACUGUGCUAAUCAGCAGUGAAUUGACGGUACCUGCAAAGGAAGCACAGGCUAACUCCGUGCCAGCAGCCGCGGUAAUACGGAGGGUGCGAGCGUUAAUCGGAAUUACUGGGCGUAAAGCGCACGUAGGCGGUAUGUCAAGUCAAGGGUGAAAUCCCCGCGCUCAACGUGGGAACUGCCUUUGAAACUGGCAAACUGGGGUGUGUGAGAGAAUAGUGAAAUUCCAGUUGUAGGAGUGAAUGCGGUAGAUAUCUGGAGGAACAUCAGUGGCGAAGGCGACUAUCUGGCACAUAACUGACGCUGAGGAGCGAAAGCGUGGGUAGCAAACAGGAUUAGAUACCCGAGUAGUC
RNAcentral lists this ribosomal RNA (465 nucleotides) under uncultured bacterium. RNAcentral's name for it is "partial 16S ribosomal RNA". It matches the Rfam family "Bacterial small subunit ribosomal RNA", at positions 338 to 795 of the family's 1533-position model. The record is from RNAcentral.